AUGGCGCCGUGGUCUAAACUCCCGCAGAGCCUCCUAGCCCUGGUCUUUGCGCGCAUCUUUUUCCCUGUCGAUCGUGCUUGCUUUCAGGCCGUGUGCCGUUCUUGGCGCUCUGCAGCGCGCCCCCCUGCGAGGCAGCUUCCAUGGAUCGUGUUCCCGAAUGGCGGGGUCAUGACCCCCUUUGACCGUGUUGUGCAUCGCAUCGCCUCCUACCCCAAAGCCAUAACGAGCUGCGUUGGUAUGGCUCCCGCCGACCGUACUCUGCACCAGCUUGUCUCCUUGCCCAAGACGACGACAUGCAUUGGCUCUACAGAUGGUUGGAUCGCCAUCGACGACCGUGUGGGCAAGAUGUAUAGAAACUACUUGUUGCACAACAUGUUUUCUGGCACGACAUUAUCUCUCCCCGAGCUGGACGCUGCCAUCGGCCAUGUUUCCAAGCUUUUCAACAUACGCAAGGUGUUGUUGCGGUCCACCCCGGAUGACGUCAUUGCUCUCAUGACCAACCAUCGCAGUUGCCCCAUCAUCUUAACCCGGCUUGGGAAGGGCGUGUGGUUGCCCAAGUCUUAUGCGGUUCCCCUCGUGAGCAUCAUCGAUGUUGCUUUUCUUGGAGACAGACUUUAUGGGGUCACAAAGGAUGAGGAUCUAGUCUUCCUUGACAUUGCCUUCAAUUAUAGCGGCGUACCCAUUGUUACCGGUGGCAAGUGUGUCAUCGGGGAAGGUUUUGACCAUGAUGAUUACGACGACCAUGACACAGAGGAUGAUGACUUGACCAAGAUGACCAAGAAGGACAUGGUUCCUCAAGAAUUCCGAUAUAUUGAUGUAGACGAGUCCAUGGAGAAUGACAUCAAAACCAUGUGGUACCUGAUCGAGUCACGUGGGAAGCUGCUCAUGGUGAGGCGACAAGUGGUAACGCCUUUUGAGUUCACUCACACGGUAGAGGUUUUCGAGGCCGACAUGAGGGCAGCCAUGUGGGUGCCGGUGGAGGCGUGGCUAGAGGACCAGGCGCUUUUCAUCAGCAGACGGUUCAGCAAGUCUGUCUCUGCUGCUUUCAGCACGGCGAUACAAAAGGAUGCUAUUUAUUUUGCUGACACGGAAGAUGUAUUCGACAUGAGAUCCCAAACAGUGAGUGCCCAAGGGAAUGAUCUCGAUAGCUACAACGCAUACCUAAGGUCGUGGAACUCGAGGCAGCUAAUGUGGGUAUUUCCUCCGGAGCUAGUAGCUUAA
RNAcentral lists this ribosomal RNA (1221 nucleotides) under Triticum aestivum (bread wheat). Its description in RNAcentral is "partial small subunit ribosomal RNA". Lineage: Eukaryota; Viridiplantae; Streptophyta; Magnoliopsida; Poales; Poaceae. The record is from RNAcentral.